Gallus gallus (chicken) is the source of this 4996-nucleotide long non-coding RNA. The record is from Ensembl. NCBI's taxonomy places the organism in Eukaryota, Metazoa, Chordata, Aves, Galliformes, Phasianidae.
CUCCCAAAGAGGAAGGAUCUCUGUCUGGAAAUUGCCCCUCUUGGAGCAGUUCUGCAAGCCCAAGGACAUGGUUUUCAGUUGCGUCCCUACUACCAGCAUUGGAGCCUCCUGCACACCUCCUUAUAGUAAUGAAAGGGAUACUGGUGAGGGUGAGAAGAUCUGUAGUGUCUGCACUGAACAUCUUUCCACUUUGGACAAUCUUAGACUAGCUUUGAGAAGACUUUCUCAUACAAGAAUUUAGUAAUGCCAAAUAAUACUACAGCCUGCAUCUUGCCUUUCUUGUUGCGUUCCAUAGUCCACUUGGCUGACAUCAGUGACCUGAGGAAAAUGUGGUGAAGGCUCCUGGGGACAAACGAGAGGCUGGAUGUGCCUGGAGGGGGGUGUGAGCAGCUGAACACAAAUGAAAUCACCUCAUCAGAAGAGCAUGAUAUGCUUCUGAAGAUCCAUAAAGACACAGGACUGGUGCAUGCAACAGACUCCUUAAGUUCACUGUGCUGUGAUCAGAUCAAGAAGUCGAAGAGAAAUGUUUGCUGUUUGUCUGCAUAUCUGCAGACAUAAAGGUGUGUGAUGCAAAGUAAGCUGUGUGGCAAGUGAGUCCAAGUGCUCAGUGAGUGUCCCUAGCUUUGGCUGUGCUGUGAUACUUGAAUGUCUCCCUUUUCUGAACUACCAGUUAAGGGUUAUGUAGGAGUAGAGAGGAAAGCUUUCUGUUUCAGAGGUUAGUAAAGUGCUGGGACCUUGUGAUUCUCUAAGUUAGAGGAGAUGUAGAUUUGUACAUAAAAUAUAAAGCAGACAAAUUAACUAAGCAGAGGCAAGGAUGCAUUUCUCUGAGAAAGACUCAUGGAGAUGUUCAAUGGAAAGAGAAAACAUAGGAAAAAGAGCUUUGUGAUGCAGCCUGAACACAGCUGUGUCAGUCUGAGCCUAGUCUCUGCAAAUUGAUAGUGUGGCUUUUGUGUUGGUAUGACAUUGUAAUUUUAAAAUGCCUUCCCCUAUAAGACACCCUGUAGAUUUUUCCCGCAGGGUAAUAGGUGGAGAUGAAACUUAAGCUGCCUGAUGAUAGGCUAUUUGUCUUGCCUGAGUGCCUGACUAUGGCAGUGAGUUAUGUGUUUCUACCACUUGCCGCAGGAGCAGCACGAAACUUAAACAUAAGCAAAGGAUGCCUCAUAGAUACAUUAGCAUGAUCAUUUGGGUCACUGCAUGCCUGUCAAAACUCUGUUCCCUAAGGGUACAGUAAGGAAUACUUCUUGCAACACUGUUUUGACAUAAUAUACUUAAGUUUUGCUGGACUUCUGAAGCUUUGAGCACUCCCUAAUGUAGAAGAUCUCAGGUCUGAGUCACACUGCUCCCAACUGAUUUCUGAGAGACUGGGUUCAAUACAGCAUUCUGCAGGACUGUAUCCCUUCCAUUAGGAAGGAAGUCAUUAACUAAUGUUCUAAGAGAGAAAAAUUAGGAGGUUUAAGUCACUACCAGUUGGCAAGAGGUUCACAUACAGAUCUUCAGUUUCCCUCAGGAGCAAUUAAAUGAAAUCAGUUACAUUUGCAUAUAAAAUAGCUUGUCUUUUCUCUCAUCAGAAAAUAGGUAUUAUGAAACUCUUCUGUUUUCCCUUGCAAGAACCCACAUGAGAAUUAUUUAAUUGGAAAGCUUAAAUCUGUUCAUCUAAAACCAAAUAGAAAAUGAGAUUUCAUAUAUAUAUUUAAUAAAAUUCACAAAUGGGAGAUUUAAUAGCUUGGUAAUCUGAAAAGAAGUUAUAUUUAAUAUUUUAAUGAAUUUAUAAUGUUUCAUAAAAUUAUUUGUGCUCAUUAAUAUAUCUAAAACUAAUUUUUAAAUUAAAGAAAUCUUAUUAACUAGACAAGACAAAUGAUAAAGAACUCCUAAGACAGAAAAUAGAACAACUUUCCAGGCUCUUACAUUCCUAAGAAUGUGCUAGGACUUCAGUGCACUUCUUUUGAAUAUGUUUCCAGACUAAUUUUGUCUGUGAAGAUUUGAUUUUUAAGACUUGGGACUAGUUUUGAUUAAUCAAACAGCAAUAAGUAAUUCUUCUUAAUUUAAGUAAAAUUCAACUUGAAAAUAAUUUUCUACCCUUCUUUAUGUUUUCUUAGCACCCGGGGGGGGUAGCUCUGUUCCAUCCACGUGGGUUGUACCUCAUUUCUACUUGGGAAAUCAGUAGGGUUUCUUUGUGGUGACCAACAGGUCUUAUUCUGGGGCUUUGGGAACAUUUCUACAUUACCAGGUAGUUUAGUCCAGGGUAGUGCUUUGCAAAGUAGUUAAUGGAUCUGUAAUUGAGGAAUCACUGGCCAAAUGAGAAUCUAUCGGACUAGGCAAUUUGGGGGCUUAAAAAUGUCUUGUUUUUGAGGGUGUAUGGCUCUGUAAAUGGGAAUGCAUGAGUUACUAUCAACUGCUAUGAAAUUGUUUCACAACUGUAUUUUGAAGUGUUUUUUUGUGCAUGACUAUGAGGGCAGCUGAGUCACUCAGUACAUCAGGUGUGGGGUGGUAGAAAGAUUUCAAACUCAAAGACUUUCCCAGCCUGGUUCUGCCCCACUGCUGCCUGUUCCCCUGCAGGAUCCCCUCCCAAGUGCUGUGAAUUGCGCUGAGUGUUUUGGCAGCUCCCUGCAACAAACCAGGAGCCUGGCGCUUCUCAGAGCCUCCUAUUUAUGAGAAUGGGAGCAAAACAAUGCCCCAAGCUGUACUUUCUCUGAGUGCUACUCCAGAACAGAGUUCUUCAUCUAUAACUUCAGUACUAAAAAUGAAGUCUUAACACUUUGACCAACCGUACUCUUUAACACCACUAUUUGACUGAAAAAGUUAUAGUCCCAUAUGUCAGUUGUGAAAGAACUUCUGAAUGCAGCCAACAGCUUUUUCUUUCCAUGUGUGAAGUUUACAGUACAGCUCUGCUUCCAGGCUUGGUAAUGUUCUUUUCUUUUUUUUAUUAUAAAAACAGGAGAAUCUGGAAUUAGAAGUGAGGCUGGAGAUGUAAUUUUGCCUACCUUUUUACUUGCAUUUAUUCUUCUGACUUGUUAUGAAAGCUAUGGUUGCCUCUACUCAAGAAAUAUCUCAUUAGGUGAUUAACUUGUCUACAUAGUUAUUUUUGUUGCUGCUUUUCUGUACAUGACUGACCUACAGAAAUGUGCUCUUGCUUAGGUGUGAAAAACAUACAUGUGUGCUAUGGCUCAUGUAGAAUUCAGCAGCAUUAAGACCAGUAAGUCCAUUGCUGGUAAUGACAUUUCCAGAGGGAGAAUGAGGCCGAGAAACCAAGCAGUUCUGAUAGCAGAUCAACACAUGACAUUCUGUUCAGAUGUUCAAAAACCCCUUACAGACAUCUCAGUUCUUCCAGCUUCCAAAAACUUGGCUUUUCAUUAUGGUACAUUAAUUUCAGAAUUUCCUAGAAAAAGGAGAAUUUCCCACAAACCAUCUCAAUCUUUUCACCUCCCCUCUGCCUUUCAGCUAAUAAUAUUCUUCACUCGUUGAUUAGUUCCAAUCGUAUCUGAUAAACAAGUGGGAAUGUUGAAGGUUUGUGGAUUCCAUGCCUGCCCUGUCCAACACCUGCUCCCCAAGGCUGUUGGCUGCAGCCUCAUUCAUGACAGUGAAGGUGGCCAACCAGCAUUCUUCCUCCAACAUGUGUGCCUGCACAGAGGCAGCUGAGGUUAGAAACAGUUGUUUGAGUUGGAAGGGACUCUUAAAAGCCAUCUAGUCCAACUCUCCUGCAAUGAGUAGGGAUGCCUAUAGCUAGAUUAGGUUGCUCAGGUCCCUGUCCAACCUAACUUUGAGCAUCUCUAAGGUCAGGGCAUUCACCAGGAGGAGGUUGCUGCAAGAGAAUGCAGAGUUGGGGAAAUUGUACUACACUUGCAAGGGAUAACUCUUUUAGUCCUGAUGUGAAGAUGUGGACAGAGUUUUCUUUGUCUCUCCGGAUAUGCUUUAAAAGCAGGAGAGCUUAGUGCCUUCUUCCCGAUUGUUCCUCCAGAGUCUUCUCAUUGGUAUGAAUGAUCCACUGGUUAGUGGAGCCACACAAGGAAUCUACUGGAGAAUAUCAGGAGGAUGUCAGCUGUAGAUAGUGAGCUCCUGUACACCUAGUACAGGUGUAUCCUAUUGAUAUGGAAUUGUUAAAAAGCAAAUUUCAGAAGGAAAAAGAUAUUUCUUAAGAAUAGGAAAACUGAGACCUUAUAGGAUGCAAGAGAGAUGAGUUAUGAGUUUUGUGCUUUAAAAUAAAUAAAGAAAAAACCCAACACCAAAAGUUGCAGGGAAGAGGGAGAUUGAAAGAUAUAACUCUGUUCUGCAAAGACUUUCUUUUACUUGUCUUUCCACUUGGAAACAAAGCCUGUAACAGUGCCCAUGAGAUGUUUUGGAUCAGUGUUACUGAACAACAUAUUUAGAUCCAUUAUUUUGGUACUACUUUUAGUUCCCUGAGAAACACUCCCAGGCAUUGCUAAUUCCUCCUUCACUCAUAGAUUUGGAAGGAUGCUUGAGGAGAGAAUCCCACCUAGAACCUGCUUAAAUUUUUGUUGAUUUUCUGCUGUUUUUUUUGUCAAAACUGGGCUUUCUUACAGGGUAAUGUGAUCUAUCAAUCAAUUGUGGAGGUACUGAAACAGUAUGUUGUUAGCAUAUUAUCAGUCACCUUCAGUUUUUUAUCAGGUUUCUGCAAAAUGCUCUUGUCCAGCCUGACAAAAUUGUUUCACUUUUUGAAACUAAUUAGUCUCUGCCUUACUUUGAUUUUGUGAUAGAGGCUUCAUCUGGGGAAAACUCAGGUAGCCUUACAGACCUAGUUCUAAUGAAGAACCUAUAUAUAAUAAAGUAGACAUCUACAUGUAAAACAAGUAUUUUACAUAUUUAUAUACAACAAAGUGAAUCUUUUGCAUCUUUUAAGAUAUAGGCAUCUACUUGCAUUUCUUAAUGUGUAGAUCAACUCAUAAUGAUUCCAAGACAGUAGAACAGAAUUAAUAUUCUAUUAAUUACUUUUUUCCAGUUAAAAUAUCAUUGUAUUAUGAAUAAUAAUAAAGAGCCAAGC